UUAUAAGAGACAGCAGCCGCCGCGGUAAUACGUAGGGUGCAAGCGUUAAUCGGAAUUACUGGGCGUAAAGCGUGCGCAGGCGGUUUGUUAAGACAGAUGUGAAAUCCCCGGGCUCAACCUGGGAACUGCAUUUGUGACUGUAUAGCUAGAGUACGGUAGAGGGGGAUGGAAUUCCGCGUGUAGCGGUGAAAUGCGUAGAGAUCGGGAGGAACAUCAGUGGCGAAGGCGGCCAUCUGGGACAACACUGACGCUGAGGCACGAAAGCGUGGGGAGCAAACAGGAUUAGAUACCCCCGUAGUCCCUGUCUCUUAUAC
This 314-nucleotide ribosomal RNA is filed under the name uncultured bacterium. Its description in RNAcentral is "partial 16S ribosomal RNA". It matches the Rfam family "Bacterial small subunit ribosomal RNA", at positions 499 to 807 of the family's 1533-position model. The record is from RNAcentral.